UAUAUAUAUAUCUCUCUCGAAGAGGAAUAAAAAGUGGUGUAAGAAAAUGGCAUAUUAGCACAAAUAUGAUAGCGUUGUUUCUUUGUCCUUUUCUUCUACAUUAGAAGCUCAUUUGAGCAGGGCUUUCAUCAACUCUUUGUCUGCAAAAAAAAAACCUUGUUAAAUAACCCAAUUGAAGAAUUAAAGCAUCUCUAGAAUUGUUGCCUUUAUAUGAUUAAGAUGCCACGGGCAUUAAGCACUGUGGCAUAUAUGUUUGGUGGCAAUAAAGGGUUAAGCGGUCCUGUUGGUACAGUUAGGGAAAGUUUAGAGAGUUCAUGACCCCUGGUCAGGUUAUUUGGUAAAGUGGGACAAGUAGCUGGGCAGCUAUGGUGACACAGCUGGCUGAGGAUUGGUUGCUGGCCAUGAGCCAGCGGAGCGUGGAAAGCCAGGUAAGCAUAAAAAGGUGACAUCGCAAGCUGUUCUCGAUCAGGGAAGAUUGG
Pelobates cultripes (western spadefoot toad) is the source of this 479-nucleotide non-coding RNA. The record is from the annotation of a GenBank genome assembly. Lineage: Eukaryota; Metazoa; Chordata; Amphibia; Anura; Pelobatidae.